ACCGGAAAAAGAAGAGUGGCGAACGGGUGAGUAACACGUGGGUAACCUGCCCAUCAGAAGGGGAUAACACUUGGAAACAGGUGCUAAUACCGUAUAACAAUCGAAACCGCAUGGUUUUGAUUUGAAAGGCGCUUUCGGGUGUCGCUGAUGGAUGGACCCGCGGUGCAUUAGCUAGUUGGUGAGGUAACGGCUCACCAAGGCUACGAUGCAUAGCCGACCUGAGAGGGUGAUCGGCCACAUUGGGACUGAGACACGGCCCAAACUCCUACGGGAGGCAGCAGUAGGGAAUCUUCGGCAAUGGACGAAAGUCUGACCGAGCAACGCCGCGUGAGUGAAGAAGGUUUUCGGAUCGUAAAACUCUGUUGUUAGAGAAGAACAAGGAUGAGAGUAACUGUUCAUCCCUUGACGGUAUCUAACCAGAAAGCCACGGCUAACUACGUGCCAGCAGCCGCGGUAAUACGUAGGUGGCAAGCGUUGUCCGGAUUUAUUGGGCGUAAAGCGAGCGCAGGCGGUUUCUUAAGUCUGAUGUGAAAGCCCCCGGCUCAACCGGGGAGGGUCAUUGGAAACUGGGAGACUUGAGUGCAGAAGAGGAGAGUGGAAUUCCAUGUGUAGCGGUGAAAUGCGUAGAUAUAUGGAGGAACACCAGUGGCGAAGGCGGCUCUCUGGUCUGUAACUGACGCUGAGCUCGAAAGCGUGGGGAGCAAACAGAUUAGAUACCCUGGUAGUCCACGCCGUAACGAUGAGUGCUAAGUGUUUGGAGGGUUUCCGCCCUUCAGUGCUGCAGCUAACGC
RNAcentral lists this ribosomal RNA (791 nucleotides) under Enterococcus durans. RNAcentral's name for it is "bacterial SSU rRNA". It matches the Rfam family "Bacterial small subunit ribosomal RNA", at positions 79 to 858 of the family's 1533-position model. Lineage: Bacteria; Bacillati; Bacillota; Bacilli; Lactobacillales; Enterococcaceae. The record is from RNAcentral.